RNAcentral lists this ribosomal RNA (497 nucleotides) under uncultured bacterium. Its description in RNAcentral is "partial 16S ribosomal RNA". It matches the Rfam family "Bacterial small subunit ribosomal RNA", at positions 28 to 507 of the family's 1533-position model. The record is from RNAcentral.
GAUGAACGCUGGCGGCGCGCCUAAUACAUGCAAGUCGAGCGAACAGACCAUGAUCUUUCUCCUCUGACGUUAGCGGCUGACGGGUGAGUAACACGUGGAUAACCUACCUAUUUUUCUGUGAUAACUUCGUUAAACCGCUUCUAAUACCGGAUAAUAUAUUGUACCGCAUUGUUCAAUAGUUAAUUACGGUUUUCCUGUCUCUUAUAGAUUGUUCCUGUCUGCAUUAGCUAGUUUGUAAGGUAAAGGCUUACCAAGGCGACGAUGCGUAGCGGACCUGAGAGGGUGAUCGGCCACACUGGAACUGAGACACGGACCAGACUCCGACGGGAGGCAGCAGUAGGGAAUAUUGGGCAAUGGGCGAAAGCAUGACGGAGCAACGCCGCGUGAGUGAAGAAGGUCUUCGGAUCGUAAAACUCUGUUAUUAGGGAAGAAAAAAAGUGGAAGAAAAUAUGGACGUAUUGACGGUACCUAAAGAAAAAGCAACGGCUAACUACGUG